UAAGAGCGAGAGAGCAUCGAGAGGGACGC
RNAcentral lists this small RNA (29 nucleotides) under Bombyx mori (domestic silkworm). Its description in RNAcentral is "ovarian small RNA-19163". Lineage: Eukaryota; Metazoa; Arthropoda; Insecta; Lepidoptera; Bombycidae. The record is from RNAcentral.